GAGACGUCCCCAACAGCGACUUAUCUGCUGGCUGUCUUUCAGUUGGAUAAAAUGACCCACCCGACGGAUCUUCUAUCUCAUCCUCGGGCAGAAAGUUGUCAGUGCCUCCACACCCAGGAGAGCGGUGAUGCUGGUCUCUCGUCCAACAUGGAGCACAAAUUCAGCGAUAAUUACACCAUACGUGCUACCUCUGUACGAGAUAAAGGCAGCAACGUGAAACCGAUUCCUAAGGGGGAACAAGACAUCUUUCACUGCACUGAGGGGAAGGGAAAAGUCUGGUCCCACCCAUCAGUGUCCUGGUAUGUAGUUGGUCCAAAAUUUGAAUCACCCAAUAUAACGGCCGAGGAGGGAUUCUUAAAAUCAUCAACUGCAGCUGCGACACAAGAGAUCUCGCCCCCACCAGCCCCACCAACACAAAACAACCCAGAGAAGGAAACUGACGAGGUCAAUCCUGACACAACUGCCUUGCCACGUGAUGAGCUAGUAGGAGACGUUAGAUGCACCACGGACGCCGUCAUCUACACACGGGGAAAACCAGAAAAACCAAAAGCUUUGCGACAGCUUCCAAGAGAGAGGAGAAGAAGCAACCGUCACCGGAAGAGACCGGCUGGGAGGAACCGGAAAAUGAAUCUGCUGUGUUGGAUGGCAGUUUCAUUCAUAUUUGUUCCUGUCACUGAUGGCUUUCCUGGGGCUCAACGUGCUGCAGGCCAAAAGACUAAGUGUUACAUCUGCAUGGACAAGGACAGAUGCCCAAAGUUGUCGAACAUAUACGACUCUGGGAACACAUUUCUGUACGGAGCGACUUUCAAUCAGACGUUUCCAGGAUGCAGUGGAGUCACUCCACCUGGUGAGAAGAAGUGUGUUGUGUGCGAUGACCAAAACAACCUCAAAAUCAUCUGCUCAGAGGACGUUGGCCGACUGGAGGUUGAACAUAGUGAUGGAGGAACAAUUGAAGACAUCUCUCCCAACUGUGUGCAGGAGCAUUUCUAUAAUGCACAUUAUGGAUUGUUUGCUGCUGGACUAUUUCUGCUUGUGGUGGCGGCGCUGGGGAUCUUCGCUGCUGUGAGUGUGACUCAACAUGUUCACUGAUCAAACAAUGGUUGAGAAACAUAAAAAAACUAUUUCUACACGAGUCACCGAACUGACUUACAUAUAUGUCUUACAUAUCAGGUCUUUGACUUACAAUAAACUUUUUCAAAGGUACGCUUUCUGUGUUAAGAUAUUCUAUGUGUAACGCCUGAGAUCUGAGGACCGAAAUGUUUAAAACAAAGUUUAAUGCAAGUAAAACAACAGUGUGCAGUAGAGCUAGCUUUGUCCUCCUCCAGCAUACCUGUCUACAAGACACUGAAGGUGCGCCUGAGCCUUUCUUGAUUGAGUAUUUUGGAUGUGGCACUUCAAAUUUCACUCUUUAAACCUGCUUUUAAAAUUAUUUUUCUUUCAGUGCCGCUGGAGAAACAGGUAAGUUCAGUCUGGUUUACUGUUUUAGAUAGUUUAUACAUGUUUUAUAUAGAUGUUUCACUGUUUCAUAUGAAAAAAAGAAAAAUUAUAAAUACCUAUCUGAGCAGGAUUUAUACAAGGUUUUCACUCUCACUUUCUAAAUGCUGUACAUACAUUCCAACAACUUCAACGAAAGCUGGGGUCCACGUCCACCAGCAUAUGAAACAGGGAACUUCACAAUCUCCCAUAGGGCUCAAAGUAGUCAACAGUGAAGAGCACUGCAUGAUGGAGAAGAGGACAGCUGUUUGUAGAAGCCAUUUGCUCACUGUGCCAUUUUAUUUACAUCUGAUGAUUUUUAGCUUUAGCUGCAAUAUAAAUGCCAAAUAGAAUAUAGCUGUUUUAUUGUGCACUCCUUGGGAGAACUGCUGCAGGACAAGACGAAGCAAAUCUUCACAACAGAGGAGCUGAAACGAAAAGAAAAAUUUAGCCUCAUGCUUACUUGAAAAUGACUAAAUAAUUGCAGAUAAUUUAUUUGUUGAUCAGCUAAUUAAGCUUUGAGCUUUGUGGCUUAUUAUAAUGACGAUGAUGUUUUUUUUUGGAUGUUUAAUCAGCUUCCUGCAAAAAUGGCCAAAUGAGCAUGUACAGCUGCUUCCUGAAUAAAUGGCUUCAAACAGCU
Acanthopagrus latus (yellowfin seabream) is the source of this 2113-nucleotide RNA transcript. RefSeq lists it as uncharacterized. The record is from RefSeq and is a predicted model, not a curated record. Lineage: Eukaryota; Metazoa; Chordata; Actinopteri; Spariformes; Sparidae. The transcript has 9 exons.